Molecule: ribosomal RNA, 442 nt
Filed under: uncultured bacterium
Lineage: Bacteria
Description: partial 16S ribosomal RNA
Rfam family: Bacterial small subunit ribosomal RNA
Source: RNAcentral
CCUACGGGUGGCAGCAGUGGGGGAUAUUGGACAAUGGGGGGAACCCUGAUCCAGCGACGCCGCGUGAGUGAAGAAGUAUCUCUGUAUGUAAAGCUCUAUCAGCAGGGAAGAAGAAAUGACGGUACCUGAGUAAGAAGCCCUGGCUAACUACGUGCCAGCAGCCGCGGGAAUACGUAGGGGGCAAGCGUUAUCCGGAAUUACUGGGUGUAAAGGGAGCGUAGUCGGUGAUGUAAGUCUGGAGUGAAAGGCGGGGGCCCAACCCCCGGACUGCUCUGGACACUAUGUCGCUGGAGUGCAGGAGAGGUGGGCGGAAUUCGUGGUGUAGCGGUGAAAUGCGUAGAUAUUAGGAGGAACACCAGUGGCGAAGGCAGCUCACUGGACUGUAACUGACGUUGAGGCUCGAAAGCGUGGGGAGCGAACAGGAUUAGAUACCCCAGUAGUC